CAGAGUCGCCACUUGGGAUGGAUUGUUUUCUAGUGUCCCAAAUCACCAGUUUAUUUUAAAAUCCCAAAUCGAGGAAAAUUUGAAUUCUUUUGAACCCAAGCUCAUAUCAUACUGAAAAUCUACACCAAAAUGAAAUAAAAAAAGGAUGGAACAAAACCUGAAAUUGCUUUCUUGAAUAUCAAAUACGGCGAGCAAAAGAAGUAAAGGCAAAAACUCGAACGUGAAUACUCGCACAAAUGAAUCUGGAACGACAAAACUUGGACGACAACUGAACAAUAUUUCUUAGAGGGGUGGCUUUUUUCAGUUGAAUUUGGGGUGUUUUGAGGGGUGAUUUCACUCUUUUCGGCGAAAUUUGGAGCUGGAAUUUGGUGGUUUGAAACAGCUUUAAUGGUUGCAUUUAUGGGUUGUUUUAGGUGGCAAAUUUUGGUGGUUUAGGGCCUGUCUUUGGACGAAUUUACAGCUGACUUUUGGGUUGUGUUUUCAUGGCUUUUUGGAAUUAAUAAAUGAGGUGUUCGGCUGGGAUUUCGCACUGGUUUGUACAACACUUUUGCUAUUGAGUCUGGUUGUGUUUUGGGGCUAAAAUGAAGGUGAUUUGGAGGUGAAAUAUAUGCCAAGGUGAAAUUUUGGUAAGGAGUUGUUGCUAGCUGCUUUUUGUGUUGAG
Molecule: long non-coding RNA, 661 nt
Filed under: Nicotiana benthamiana
Lineage: Eukaryota; Viridiplantae; Streptophyta; Magnoliopsida; Solanales; Solanaceae
Description: long non-coding RNA (NBEN_LNC030229)
Source: RNAcentral